This 708-nucleotide ribosomal RNA is filed under the name uncultured bacterium. RNAcentral's name for it is "bacterial SSU rRNA". It matches the Rfam family "Bacterial small subunit ribosomal RNA", at positions 75 to 798 of the family's 1533-position model. The record is from RNAcentral.
GGAGCUUGCUUUAUAUAACUUAGCAGCGAACGGGUGAGUAACACGUAGAUAAUCUAUCCUAUACUGGGGGAUAGCCCGAUGAAAGUUGGAUUAAUACCGCAUAUAGCUAUAUAGUUGCAUGAUUAUGUAGUGAAAGAUUUAUUGGUAUAGGAGGAGUCUGCGGCACAUUAGCUAGUAGGUGAGGUAAAGGCUUACCUAGGCGACGAUGUGUAGCCGGUCUGAGAGGAUGAACGGCCACAAUGGAACUGAGACACGGUCCAUACUCCUACGGGAGGCAGCAGUGGGGAAUAUUGCACAAUGGGGGAAACCCUGAUGCAGCAACGCCGCGUGAGUGAAGAAGGUUUUCGGAUUGUAAAGCUCUGUUAGCAGGGAAGAGGAAGGACGGUACCUGCAGAGGAAGCCACGGCUAACUACGUGCCAGCAGCCGCGGUAAUACGUAGGUGGCAAGCGUUGUUCGGAAUAACUGGGCGUAAAGGAUGCGUAGGCGGUUAAACAAGUUAUAUGUUAAAUAUAUAGGCUUAACCUGUAGAAAGCAUAUAAAACUGUUUAACUAGAGUGCAGGAGAGGUAAGUGGAAUUCCUAGUGUAGCGGUGAAAUGCGUAGAGAUUAGGAAGAACACCAGUGGCGAAGGCGACUUACUGGACUGUAACUGACGCUGAGGCAUGAGAGCAUGGGGAGCAAACAGGAUUAGAUACCCUGGUAGUCCAU